Molecule: long non-coding RNA, 463 nt
Organism: Rhopalosiphum padi (bird cherry-oat aphid)
Lineage: Eukaryota; Metazoa; Arthropoda; Insecta; Hemiptera; Aphididae
Exons: 2
Source: RefSeq, a predicted model, not a curated record
UACAAAUUGAGCAUUUGAAGUCUGUCUGUACUGUUUUAAAUUUUUCAAUGUGCUAUUUGGCAUAGUGGCAUUUGAUGUCCCAAAAGGCGAUAAUUUGUCAACCCUUCUUUUUAAUAAAUUUAUUAAUGAUAUUUCUAAUGUUAUAAAAAGAUAGUUUACACAUUUAUCUUUUUUCGAAUGACCUUAAAACUUAUAAAAAUAAUUAAUUCUCAUAAUAAUGCGAUUGGCUCACAAAAUGAAAUCAAUAAUAUUCAAACUUGGGGCUAAAUCGAAAGUGGCAGUCAGACAGUAUGAUCCGAGUCCACAGAACAAUGAAUGAAUGAACUUAUGAAAAUGACUUGCUCUUUACUCUUGAGUUUAAGAACCUAAGGUAAAAAAUAAAUGAAAAAAUGUUGCAGAUAUUGAGACAUUUAUUCUACAUUUUGUUCUUUAAAUUAUUAAAUAAAACAUUUAAAAUAUAAUA